RNAcentral lists this ribosomal RNA (497 nucleotides) under uncultured bacterium. RNAcentral's name for it is "partial 16S ribosomal RNA". It matches the Rfam family "Bacterial small subunit ribosomal RNA", at positions 28 to 507 of the family's 1533-position model. The record is from RNAcentral.
GAUGAACGCUGGCGGCGUGCCUAAUACAUGCAAGUCGAGCGAACAGACGAGGAGCUUGCUCCUCUGACGUUAGCGGCGGACGGGUGAGUAACACGUGGAUAACCUACCUAUAAGACUGGGAUCACUUCGGGAAACCGGCGCUAAUACCGGAUAAUAUAUUGAACCGCAUGGUUCAAUAGUGAAAGACGGUUUUGCUGUCACUUAUAGAUGGAUCUGCGCCGCAUUAGCUAGUUGGUAAGGUAAAGGCUUACCAAGGCAACGAUGCGUAGCCGACCUGAGAGGGUGAUCGGCCACACUAGAACUGAGACACGGUCCAUACGCCUACGGGAGGCAGCAGUAGGGAAUCGUCCGCAAUGGGCGAAAGCCUGACGGAGCAACGCCGCGUGAGUGAUGAAGGUCUUCGGAUCGUAAAACUCUGUUAUUAGGGAAGAACAAAUGUGUAAGUAACUAUGCACGUCUUGACGGUACCGAAUCAGAAAGCCACGGCUAACUACGUG